AAAAAAAAAGAGGAAAACAGAAUCCACUCACCUCUGGGUUUGUUUUGCGAAUUUCUUGAAUCUGUUCAACCAUUUCUUUGAUUUUUUCCAAUUUUUCUUCCUC
RNAcentral lists this non-coding RNA (103 nucleotides) under Conticribra weissflogii. Lineage: Eukaryota; Bacillariophyta; Thalassiosirophyceae; Thalassiosirales; Thalassiosiraceae. The record is from RNAcentral.